This 321-nucleotide small nuclear RNA is filed under the name Sorex araneus (European shrew). RNAcentral's name for it is "7SK RNA (ENSSARG00000018095.1)". The stretch from base 1 to 275 matches the Rfam family "7SK RNA". Rfam says of the family: 7SK was discovered as an abundant small nuclear RNA in the mid-70s but a possible function has only recently been suggested. The record is from RNAcentral. Lineage: Eukaryota; Metazoa; Chordata; Mammalia; Eulipotyphla; Soricidae.
AGUAGUGAGGGUGACCUGGUUGUGACAUGUUAUCCCACUGAUAUCCAGGGUUGAUGUGGCAGAUCUGGCUGGCUAGGUGGGUGUCCCCUCCCUCCUCCCUCACCACUCCAUGUGUGUCCCUCCCGAAGCCGCUGGCUCAGUUGAAGAGGAUGGCUUUUCCCGAACAUUCCUUGGUCAAGGGUACACAAGUAGCUGCGCUCCCUUGUUAGAACCUCCAAACAAGUUCUCAAAAAGUUCGAAGGGGUUGUAGAACAACUCUAGAUAGUCUUGAAGUUUAUAUAAACGAAGGUGACAAUGCUGAUGGGAACACAGGCAGAAUUC